UGGAAACUCUGGGUUCCUAUAAAUUUCCUAC
Molecule: non-coding RNA, 31 nt
Filed under: Rattus norvegicus (Norway rat)
Lineage: Eukaryota; Metazoa; Chordata; Mammalia; Rodentia; Muridae
Source: RNAcentral